RNAcentral lists this ribosomal RNA (253 nucleotides) under uncultured bacterium. Its description in RNAcentral is "partial 16S ribosomal RNA". It matches the Rfam family "Bacterial small subunit ribosomal RNA", at positions 524 to 776 of the family's 1533-position model. The record is from RNAcentral.
UACAGAGGUCCCGAGCGUUGUUCGGAUUCACUGGGCGUAAAGGGUGCGUAGGUGGCUUGAAAAGUUUGAUGUGAAAGCUCAGGGCUUAACCCUGAAAUGGCAUUGAAAACUGUCGGGCUGGAGGUUUGGAGGGGGGACUGGAAUUCUUGGUGUAGCAGUGAAAUGCGUAGAUAUCAAGAGGAACACCAGUGGCGAAGGCGGCUUUUUGGUCUGUAACUGACGCUGAGGCGCGAAAGCGUGGGGAGCAAACAGG